Sturnus vulgaris (Common starling) is the source of this 250-nucleotide non-coding RNA. The record is from RefSeq and is a predicted model, not a curated record. Lineage: Eukaryota; Metazoa; Chordata; Aves; Passeriformes; Sturnidae.
UGUUUGCACCAUAGAGUUUGGAGACUCCUGUGGCAAUUUAUGCCCUGGAACUUAAGGGAACCUUCAGUUAAGCCAGAGGUACAUGGAAAUACCUUAUGCUAAAAGAGAGCCAGAAGAGCCACUGGAUCUGUUCUGCUGCCCAGAGCUCUGCAAUGAAGUGAGACAUACUGCCUGCUGCAAAGAAAAUGGAGGUGUGCCUGGGUCUUCAAACUAAAGCUUUGCAGACCAUGAAAACCACGGAUGCUGGGUG